This 324-nucleotide ribosomal RNA is filed under the name uncultured eukaryote. RNAcentral's name for it is "partial 18S ribosomal RNA". It matches the Rfam family "Eukaryotic small subunit ribosomal RNA", at positions 1470 to 1796 of the family's 1831-position model. The record is from RNAcentral.
CCCUUAGAUGUUCUGGGCCGCACGCGCGCUGCACUGAUGCAUUCAACGAGUUUCUUCCUGGUCCGAGAGGAAUGGGUAACCUUUUGAAAGUGCAUCGUGAUAGGGAUAGACUAUUGCAAUUAUUGGUCUUCAACGAGGAAUUCCUAGUAGACGUAGUUCAUCAGACUGCAUCGAUUACGUCCCCGCCCUUUGUACACACCGCCCGUCGCUCCUACCGAUUGAAUGCUCAGGUGAGCCAUUCGGACUUUCAUCAUGCUGGUUUCCAGUUUUGAUGAAGGAAAGUCUUGCGAACCUUAUCAUUUAGAGGAAGGAGAAGUCGUAACA